RNAcentral lists this long non-coding RNA (1713 nucleotides) under Mytilus galloprovincialis (Mediterranean mussel). Lineage: Eukaryota; Metazoa; Mollusca; Bivalvia; Mytilida; Mytilidae. The record is from RNAcentral.
GGAGGAUGCCGGAGUUAUACCAAGAGAGAACCACUGAACUUCGGCAGAAAAAAAACUGGCAAUCUCGUCAAUUAAGAUAUGAGUCGAACGCACCUGUCACGAGCGGGGUUCGAACUCACAAUGUCGGUGAAGACAGGCUGUGGCUAGUGAUUACAGUAGAUGCACUACUUUUUUCUUCUUGAAUAAAAUAUAUUAUUAUUUGAAAAUAUAACAAGGUGCAUAAAACAAAUGUAAAUAAUCUUUUGUUAUUCCAAACAGAGCAUUUUUUUAAAACAAUUAUUCAGUUUAAUUUCAACAUACAUAUUGUAUCAUCAAUAACAUUCUGCAAUAGUACAUGUACAUUGUAAGUUGACCUUAAUUCUAAUUAAUUUCAACGUUAUUCUGAGUUAUCUCUCUUUGUUCGACUUGUAAAAUAGGCCAAUCGGAACUACUCGGCUUUUCUGGUUGCACGAAGAAAUAUUGCAUAGCGAGAAUGGCCGAGUAGUUACGAUUGUAAAAUAGGCCUUAUCCAGGAAAAAUAUAAUUGCUACUAAACUCAGUUUUAAUUAAAUUACUUAGUUUUGUGUCCAUUUGUUGAAAUUCUGAAAAAAAAUUACUUCACAGUUUCUUCAUGAUAAAAAAUUGUUUUAAAUUUCUUUUUUUCAUUUCGUAAAUAUAUAUAAUAUAGUUAAAAUAUAAAAGAAAAACCUUUAUUUGUACCCGAAGUUGGUGAAAUCUAAGGAUUUAAUUACAUUCAUCAUGUAUUGGUAAUGUUUAUAUUAUUGUAAAACUAUCAAAACAUGACGGGUCAGAUAUGUACAUGUAGGAUAAUUUAUUUCUAGGCUACUACAAUGGAAAUUUUUAUAACAUACUAUUGAUGACCAAAUUUUGAAAAAAAUGAAAAUUUAUCAAAAGGUCAUCAAAUCUGCUAAAAAGUGGAUGUUUUUAUUGUAAGACUGUAAAUUCCACAAUUUAUUCUUCAGAAUGAUGUAAAACUUUGAAAAAAAAUUGUAAAGAAUUAUAUGGAGUAGACCUAUUCUUUUGAAAAGGAAGGUACAUCGAAAAUGUUAUGUACAGAGUUGGGUGUUAUUUUAAUUUUUAUUAGUCCCCUACCGACGAAGUCGAAGGGGACUUAAGGUUUGCACUUCGUCCAUCUGUCUGUUCAUCCAUCAGUCCGGCAUAUCAGUUUUUCUACACCUUUUUGUUCGUGCUUAAAGAUAUUGAUUUGAUACUUGGUGUAUUGUUUUACAUGUAUCAUUAUAUGUUUAAGAUCAAGUUCGAAUUUUGUUCCGGUUUGACGAUUUUGUACUGAGUUACCGUCCUCUCAAUUAAUCCAUUUUUUACCCUUCUAAUUCGUCAUGCUUGAAGAGAUUGACUUGAUAUUUGUUAUACAAGUUAAACCAUGAAAAGUUAUAGAUCAAGUUAGCAUUUUGUUACAGUGCAAUGAAUUUUUAACCGGUAGGGAACUAUGCAUUGCCAGUUAUACUCACAGAAUUAUUGUUGAUUUUAAUCAUUAAUUGAUUAUGUCAGUUUGUAUAUAAUAUUUAAUUUAUUUUGAUUUGUUAAAAUUGUGAAAAAUAAUUGUAUUUUUGCUUUUAUCAUGUUUAUCAUUAAGCAAUAAAGUUUAAAGAGGAACUGAUGUUUUUUUUUUAGCUCUCCUACACAGCUACUUUUGCAGAGGUACUAUUUCUGUACUGAAAAUAUGUAGUACUGGAAAUUCACUUUUAAUAUUCA